This 253-nucleotide ribosomal RNA is filed under the name uncultured bacterium. RNAcentral's name for it is "partial 16S ribosomal RNA". It matches the Rfam family "Bacterial small subunit ribosomal RNA", at positions 524 to 776 of the family's 1533-position model. The record is from RNAcentral.
UACGUAGGUGGCGAGCGUUGUCCGGAUUUACUGGGCGUAAAGGGAGCGUAGGCGGACUUUUAAGUGAGAUGUGAAAUACUCGGGCUCAACUUGAGUGCUGCAUUUCAAACUGGAAGUCUAGAGUGCAGGAGAGGAGAAUGGAAUUCCUAGUGUAGCGGUGAAAUGCGUAGAGAUUAGGAAGAACACCAGUGGCGAAGGCGAUUCUCUGGACUGUAACUGACGCUGAGGCUCGAAAGCGUGGGGAGCAAUCAGG